Apis florea (little honeybee) is the source of this 211-nucleotide long non-coding RNA. The record is from RefSeq and is a predicted model, not a curated record. NCBI's taxonomy places the organism in Eukaryota, Metazoa, Arthropoda, Insecta, Hymenoptera, Apidae.
UGCGUUCCUCGGAAGGGAAAGUGGUGGGUAUCGACGCUUCGUGCCGUGAACGCAUUUCACAGCUUAAGAGAAGAUUAGCCAACCCUCUCGUAACGAUAGGAUUUGACCAUUGAGGGGAGAUUACCGGCGCUGGCCGAGCCAUUCGGCGCGGAUCCAGCUUUAAGCGUGUUACACAAUUACGUUCUGCCAGUGUCUGGAACCGCACGGUCGA